UGGGGAAUAUUGGACAAUGGGGGCAACCCUGAUCCAGCAAUGCCGCGUGUGUGAAGAAGGCCUUCGGGUUGUAAAGCACUUUAGGUGGGGAAGAAGAUGUGUAGUUUAAGAGAUGACACAUUUGACGGUACUCACAGAAUAAGCACCGGCUAACUCUGUGCCAGCAGCCGCGGUAAUACAGAGGGUGCGAGCGUUAAUCGGAAUUACUGGGCGUAAAGGGCGCGUAGUGGAUAUUUAAGUGAGAGGUGAAAUCCCCGGGCUCAACCUGGGAACUGCCUCUUAUACUGGGUAUCUGGAGUGUGGUAGAGGGUAGUGGAAUUUCCGGUGUAGCGGUGAAAUGCGUAGAUAUCGGAAGGAACACCAGUGGCGAAGGCGGCUACCUGGACUAACACUGACACUGAGGCGCGAAAGCGUGGGGAGCAAACAG
RNAcentral lists this ribosomal RNA (427 nucleotides) under uncultured bacterium. RNAcentral's name for it is "bacterial SSU rRNA". It matches the Rfam family "Bacterial small subunit ribosomal RNA", at positions 355 to 775 of the family's 1533-position model. The record is from RNAcentral.